CCUACGGGUGGCAGCAGUGGGGAAUAUUGCUCAAUGGGCGCGAGCCUGACGCAGCCAAGUCGCGUGAGGGAUGACUGCCCUACGGGUUGUAAACUUCUUUUGUAAAGGAGUAAAGUGAGGCUCGUGUGCCUUUUUGUAUGUACUUUAUGCAUAAGGAUCGGCGAACUCCGUGCCAGCAGCCGCGGUCAUACGGAGGAUCCGAGCGUUAUCCGGAUUUAUUGGGUGUAAAGGGAGCGUAGAUGGGUUGUUAAGUCAGUUGUGAAAGUGUGCGGCUCAACCGUAAAAUUGCAAUUGAUACUGGCAGACGUGAGUACAGUUGAGGUAGGUGGAAUUCGUGGUGUAGCGGUGAAAUGCUUAGAUAUCACGAAGAACUCCGAUUGCGAAGGCAGCUUACUAAACUGCCACUGACAUUGAUGCUCGAAAGUGUGGGUAUCAAACAGGAUUAGAUACCCUUGUAGUC
RNAcentral lists this ribosomal RNA (460 nucleotides) under uncultured bacterium. RNAcentral's name for it is "partial 16S ribosomal RNA". It matches the Rfam family "Bacterial small subunit ribosomal RNA", at positions 338 to 795 of the family's 1533-position model. The record is from RNAcentral.